AGUGAACGCUGGCGGUAGGCCUAACACAUGCAAGUCGAACGGCAGCACAGUAAGAGCUUGCUCUUACGGGUGGCGAGUGGCGGACGGGUGCGGAAUACAUCGGAAUCUACUUUUUCGUGGGGGAUAACGUAGGGAAACUUACGCUAAUACCGCAUACGACCUACGGGUGAAAGCAGGGGAUCUUCGGACCUUGCGCGAUUGAAUGAGCCGAUGUCGGAUUAGCUAGUUGGCGGGGUAAAGGCCCACCAAGGCGACGAUCCGUAGCUGGUCUGAGAGGAUGAUCAGCCACACUGGAACUGAGACACGGUCCAGACUCCUACGGGAGGCAGCAGUGGGGAAUAUUGGACAAUGGGCGAAAGCCUGAUCCAGCCAUACCGCGUAGGUGAAGAAGGCCUUCGGGUUGUAAAGCCCUUUUGUUGGGAAAGAAAAGCAGCAGGUUAAUACCCCGCUGUUCUGACGGUACCCAAAGAAUAAGCACCGGCUAACUUCGUG
RNAcentral lists this ribosomal RNA (492 nucleotides) under uncultured bacterium. RNAcentral describes it as "partial 16S ribosomal RNA". It matches the Rfam family "Bacterial small subunit ribosomal RNA", at positions 29 to 507 of the family's 1533-position model. The record is from RNAcentral.